UACGUAGGGUGCAAGCGUUGUCCGGAUUUAUUGGGUUUAAAGGGUGCGUAGGUGGUUUGUUAAGUCAGUGGUGAAAGACGGUUGCUCAACAAUCAAUGUGCCAUUGAUACUGACGAACUUGAGUAAAGUGGAGGCUGGAGGAAUGGAUGGUGUAGCGGUGAAAUGCAUAGAUAUCAUCCAGAACGUCAAUUGCGAAGGCAUCUGGCUGUACUUUUACUGACACUGAGGCACGAAAGCGUGGGGAUCAAACAGG
Molecule: ribosomal RNA, 253 nt
Filed under: uncultured bacterium
Lineage: Bacteria
Description: partial 16S ribosomal RNA
Rfam family: Bacterial small subunit ribosomal RNA
Source: RNAcentral